This 232-nucleotide unclassified non-coding RNA is filed under the name Rossbeevera sp. RNAcentral describes it as "partial internal transcribed spacer region". The stretch from base 1 to 46 matches the Rfam family "Eukaryotic small subunit ribosomal RNA", at positions 1786 to 1831 of the family's 1831-position model. Lineage: Eukaryota; Fungi; Basidiomycota; Agaricomycetes; Boletales; Boletaceae. The record is from RNAcentral.
AAGUCGUAACAAGGUUUCCGUAGGUGAACCUGCGGAAGGAUCAUUAUCGAACAGGAUUGUUGCUGGCUAGGUCAUUCUAGCAAUGUGCACAUCCAUAUUUUUCAAUACACACACCCAGUGCACCUUUAUUGUAGAUCGCAAGAUCUAUGUUUUUUUCAUAAUCCAAUUGGCAUGUCUACAGAAUGUGUUACCUAUUUUAUUACAACUUUCAGCAAUGGAUCUCUUGGUUCUC